ACCUCGGUGGUGUAAUGGUAGCACGCCUCCAUGGUAUGGAUGAAGCGCUGGUUCAACUCCCGUUUGAGGUC
Molecule: non-coding RNA, 71 nt
Organism: Parelaphostrongylus tenuis
Lineage: Eukaryota; Metazoa; Nematoda; Chromadorea; Rhabditida; Metastrongylidae
Source: the annotation of a GenBank genome assembly